GGUAAAUAUACGUUCUGGAUUCCUUGCCAUGCAAGCCUAGAAUCAGCUAUUUAACUAACAAAAUUGGGUAAAGCAUGUACCCACAUCCGAGUUGAGAAAGCUCAAAGGUCAGCACAGCUCAGGCGCAGGAAACAGGAACUUGACACUGCAGAAGAUAUGGCCAAGCAUCAUCCAGAUUUAAUUAUGUGCCGCAAGCAGCCAGGAAUUGCUAUUGGACGUGUAUGUGACAAAUGUGAUGGGACGUUGCAUUGUCUGUGGAGGAAUCGGGAUUUCUGAUGCCUAUUACUGCAAAGAGUGUAUGCAGCUGGAGAAAGAUAGAGAUGGGUGUCCAAAAAUCGUCAAUUUGGGAAGCGCCAAAACUGAUUUAUUCUAUGAACGAAAGAAAUAUGGUUUCAAAAAACGAUGAAAACAGCUUUCCCAAAUGAAGUGCAUCAAUGAUAUCUCCAAGUGAUCCAUUCAUUCUCUUUGGUGCUAGGUUUGUUGUGAUUUUGUUUACAAUGUCAAUAACAUGACCUGUGAUUAAAUUGAAGCAGAGUAUUUUUCUGUGGUCCACUGUUGGCUAUGAGCAGAUGCAUCCUUCUUCCAUCCCAGCACAGAUCAAUUCAUCUUAUUGAAUUGGUACGAGCGAAUGGGGGAUGGAAAUCAACAUUUUGUUUUUAUUUCUAUUUCUCCUUUAAUAACAAAUAAAUUUAUGAUUGCAAUUCUUUA
This is an RNA transcript of Vitis vinifera (wine grape), 708 nucleotides long. RefSeq lists it as uncharacterized. The record is from RefSeq and is a predicted model, not a curated record. Lineage: Eukaryota; Viridiplantae; Streptophyta; Magnoliopsida; Vitales; Vitaceae. The transcript is spliced from 4 exons.